CGUAGGUGGCGAGCGUUGUCCGGAAUUACUGGGUGUAAAGGGCGUGUAGGCGGGGAGACAAGUCAGAUGUGAAAUACCGUGGCUUAACCACGGGGCUGCAUCUGAAACUGUUUUUCUUGAGUGUCGGAGAGGAAAGUGGAAUUCCCAGUGUAGCGGUGAAAUGCGUAGAUAUUGGGAGGAACACCAGUGGCGAAGGCGACUUUCUGGACGAUAACUGACGCUGAGGCGCGAAAGCGUGGGGAGCAAACAGGAUUAGAUACCCUGGUAGUCCACGCUGUAAACGAUGGAUACUAGGUGUGGGAGGUAUCGACCCCUUCCGUGCCGCAGUUAACACAAUAAGUAUCCCACCUGGGGAGUACGGCCGCAAGGUUG
Molecule: ribosomal RNA, 372 nt
Filed under: uncultured organism
Description: bacterial SSU rRNA
Rfam family: Bacterial small subunit ribosomal RNA
Source: RNAcentral